UAGCUAAGGUUUUCAGCCCCUGGGGACAAGUGAAGAUUUUGCGCCCUUUUCUUUGUGCCAGGAAUGGAAAACAUUUCAUUAAAAAAUUUUGUAAUAUCAGUUUGGCGUCCCCUGGAUGCUGCGCCCGAGGACAGAUGUCCCCCCUUGCCCCAUCCUAGCUGUGCCACUGUCUGUCCUGCAGUCGUCCAUAUAGCUACGAUGCCUCUAAUAUCGAAAUUAAAUCCUUCCUCUCAAACCAUUCCUCUAUAAGCAUGAUAAUGACUGCUACAGAUAAAAGUUUAGUUGAAAAAGGAGAAGAAAAAUGCACUCAUUUAAUUGAAGCUCACAAGGAAUGUAUGAAGAAAUUAGGCUUCAAUAUAUGAUGAAUUACAUUUUGUAAACACUGUAAAAGCUUACAGUAUAAUUAAGAAUUACCUCUCAGCAGGAAUUUGUAAAACUACUUAUGUAUAUAAUUGUAAAAUGAUUUAGACUGGAAAAUAAAAUUUCCAGUUUAAAAAAA
Molecule: long non-coding RNA, 499 nt
Filed under: Stegodyphus dumicola
Lineage: Eukaryota; Metazoa; Arthropoda; Arachnida; Araneae; Eresidae
Description: uncharacterized LOC118188357, transcript variant X3
Source: RNAcentral